Molecule: ribosomal RNA, 426 nt
Filed under: Harringtonia sporodochialis
Lineage: Eukaryota; Fungi; Ascomycota; Sordariomycetes; Ophiostomatales; Ophiostomataceae
Description: Ophiostomataceae sp. JA-2022d partial large subunit ribosomal RNA
Rfam family: Eukaryotic large subunit ribosomal RNA
Source: RNAcentral
GGGAUUGCCCCGUAACGGCGAGUGAAGCGGCAACAGCUCAAAUUUGAAAUCUGCCCCCGGCCGAGUUGUAGUUUGCAGAGGAUGCUUCCGGCGGAGCGCCGUCCGAGUGCCCUGGAACGGGUCGCCGGAGAGGGUGAGAGCCCCGUACGGGCGGCGCCGAGCCGACGCGAAGCUCCUUCGACGAGUCGGGUAGUUUGGGAAUGCUGCCCCAACGGGAGGUAAACGUCUUCCAAAGCUAAAUACCGGCCGGAGACCGAUAGCGCACAAGUAGAGUGAUCGAAAGAUGAAAAGCACUUUGAAAAGAGAGUCAAACAGCACGUGAAAUUGCUGAGGGGGAACCGCCCGCGGCCAGACUUGCGCCCCCCGGACCAGCCGGCACCUCGGUGCCGGGGCACUCCGCGGGGGGGGCAGGCCAGCAUCGGCUCG